This 452-nucleotide ribosomal RNA is filed under the name Indotyphlops braminus (Brahminy blind snake). RNAcentral's name for it is "partial 16S ribosomal RNA". It matches the Rfam family "Bacterial large subunit ribosomal RNA", at positions 1936 to 2621 of the family's 2925-position model. The record is from RNAcentral. Lineage: Eukaryota; Metazoa; Chordata; Lepidosauria; Squamata; Typhlopidae.
GUACCCUAACCGUGCAAAGGUAGCGUAAUCACUUGUCCACUAAUUAUGGACUAGUAUGAAUGGCAACAUGAGGGCUAAACUGUCUCUUGAGGCCGAUUUAUUAAACUGAUCUUCUAGUUCAAAAGCUAGAAUACCGCAAUAAGACGAGAAGACCCUGUGAAGCUUUAAGAACCUUGCUAACCCACUUAGCAAUAACUUUUAGUUGGGGCAACUUUGGAGCAAAGCAAAACCUCCAAAACCCUCAAAGACCCACAAGUCAAGAACGACCCAGUACAGCUGAUCAAUGAACCAAGUUACUCCAGGGAUAACAGCGCAAUCCUCUUCAAGAGCCCAUAUCAAAAAGAGGGUUUACGACCUCGAUGUUGGAUCAGGACACCCGAAUGGCGCAGCCGCUGUUAAAGGUUCGUUUGUUCAACGAUUAAAGUCCUACGUGAUCUGAUUUCAGACCGGGG